GGAUGCGAUCAUACCAGCACUAAAGCACCAGAUCCCAUAAGAACUCCGAAGUUAAGCGUGCUUGGGCGAGAGUAGUACUAGGAUGGGUGACCUCCUGGGAAGUCCUCGUGUUGCAUUCC
Molecule: ribosomal RNA, 119 nt
Filed under: Aegilops tauschii subsp. strangulata
Lineage: Eukaryota; Viridiplantae; Streptophyta; Magnoliopsida; Poales; Poaceae
Source: RNAcentral